Long non-coding RNA from Saccostrea cuccullata (small rock oyster), 361 nucleotides. RefSeq lists it as uncharacterized. The record is from RefSeq and is a predicted model, not a curated record. The transcript is spliced from 3 exons. Lineage: Eukaryota; Metazoa; Mollusca; Bivalvia; Ostreida; Ostreidae.
GGGAAAUCCUGCAUAAUGGUUUUAAUACCACUGGCGUAUAUCAGAUAUAUCCCUGGGGAUCCAGUGGAAAGUCAAUAGACGUACUCUGUAAUAUGGAUGUUGACCCAAAAGGAUGGACGGUGUUUCAAUGGCGUCAUCCUUUAACAGAAAAUUUUACUAGAAAUUGGGAAGAGUACAAAAAUGGUUUUGGGAGUCUCAAUGGUGAAUUCUGGCUAGGAAACGAGAUCGUUCAUCUUUUGACAAAACCACAACGAACAUUGUUUCACAUUGGUAUUUCAAGUAAAAAUGGAAGCUCUUGGUAUGAAAGAUUUGACGACAUGAAAUUAGCAUCGGAAGCUCAAAAGUACACAAUUACUUUCGG